UGGGGGAUAUUGCACAAGUGGGGGGGAACCCUGAUGCAGCGACGCCGCGUGGGUGAAGAAGCGCCUCGGCGCGUAAAGCCCUGUCAGCAGGGAAGAAAAUGACGGUACCUGAAGAAGAAGCCCCGGCUAACUACGUGCC
Molecule: ribosomal RNA, 139 nt
Filed under: uncultured bacterium
Lineage: Bacteria
Description: partial 16S ribosomal RNA
Rfam family: Bacterial small subunit ribosomal RNA
Source: RNAcentral